This is a long non-coding RNA of Hemibagrus wyckioides, 1199 nucleotides long. RefSeq lists it as uncharacterized. The transcript is spliced from 3 exons. NCBI's taxonomy places the organism in Eukaryota, Metazoa, Chordata, Actinopteri, Siluriformes, Bagridae. The record is from RefSeq and is a predicted model, not a curated record.
CGACCCGGCGUGAGAUGACAUUUCAAUUUGUGUGUGUGAGUCAACGAGAGAAACAAAAAGAGAGAGAGAGAGAGAGAGAGAGAGAGUGUAAUAUUCCAUUAAACUUUUCCUCUUCAUUUCUCCCCUGCAGUUCCUUUCAUCCUCUCUUCACUUUUUUAAACGAUGAUAAAAGGAGAAAGUGGCUUUCAGCUGAGUCAUUAGGUACCAGGAGAAGAAGAGGAGUCGAUUUUCACCUGAGGAAGUGUUUUCAGCUUUUACUUUUCCUCCUCAUCUCCAUUGGGGACAUCAAUAAACAUUCCCACAUCCUCUCAUCGCUCACUGGCUCAGGAACGUCAUCUCAUCCUCUCCAAUCACAAGCUGUGAAGCAGGAGUGGAGUCUGGAGAUACAGGAGCAACCAUCACCCUGAGCUCCACCACAGACAUAAAGCUGUUUCAUCUAAUAAACAUCAGGUGUGUGUGUGUAUGUAUGAGUGGAAUGAGCUUGGUGUUUAGCGCUCUGGUUACAGUUCUUCUCCUCACGGAUUGUGGAAAGUCUCCUCAGGAUCAUCCAGGAGAACCUUGGUGUAGAUCCAGCUGAGGUGCCUCCUGCUGGACGGAUUGUCUCCCAGUGGACUGGAGAAGGUCUGAAGAUCUGGCAGGAGGAGCUGGAAGGUGUGAUUGGAGAUAAAAGAGAAGACAUGAAAGUUAGGCCAGAGCGGUUGAGCUGAAGAGCUGCACCUGGGAGGAACGUCAUCACUCCAGCGCAGCAGACGAAUGCAGAAGUCGUAUAUGUUGAUGUGAAAGGAGAGAAACGAGGAGCGUGGAAUGUUUAUUAGGACUAAUCGAAGUCGCUACACCAGGCAGGAGGACGUGCGGAGAGAGCGAGUACAGGAAAUCCAUGACUGAUAUCCAGAGACACGAGAGACGAUCGAAACUCGGGGACAAGGCUCAGGAAGGACAGAGAGCAAAAAAAACACACCACUUCAGUGUGAUAAAUACAUAAAAUAACAACAUAAAUCAUUUAUAUUCACUGUAAAUAAUACAAUACCAUCCUGUUUAUGGAUUAUAUACAUUUAUUUAUGGGUGAGAGGUGAGUGAGAGGUGAGUGAGAGGUGUGUGAGAGGUGAGUGAGAGGUACGUGAGAGGUGAGUGAGAGGUGUGUGAGAGGUGAGUGAGAGGUACGUGAGAGGUGAGUGAGAGGUGAGUGAGAGGUGAGUGAG